GGAGUGGACCGGAUGGCCGCUGGCCGGAGGUCGCAGUGGGCUGCCAUAUCAGCCCGUUGAGGGCCCCGGCGAGAGGAAAGUCCGGGCUCCGGAGGACACGGUGAUGGGUAACGCCCACCGGCCGCGAGGCCAGGGAAAGUGCAACAGAAAGCAAACCGCCUCGCGGGUCUCCUGCGAGGUAAGGGUGAAACGGUGAGGUAAGAGCUCACCAGCAGGCCGGGUGACCGGCCUGGCUAGGCAAACCCCACCGGGAGCAAGGUUAAACAGGGAGCAGCGGAUGCGCCGGAUGACUCCGUUCAUGCGGUCGCUCCCACGGGCUGGUCCGGUCCGUGAUCGACUCCCGGGUGGACCGCUUGAGGAGUCGAGCAAUCGGCUUCCUAGAUAAAUGGCCAUCGCCCGUGCGGCACGUCGCCGCCCGGGAACAGAACCCGGCUUACAGGUCCGCUCCGGCC
This 452-nucleotide RNase P RNA is filed under the name Planctomycetes bacterium RBG_16_64_12. RNAcentral describes it as "RNase P RNA component class A". It matches the Rfam family "Bacterial RNase P class A". Rfam says of the family: Ribonuclease P (RNase P) is a ubiquitous endoribonuclease, found in archaea, bacteria and eukarya as well as chloroplasts and mitochondria. Its best characterised activity is the generation of mature 5'-ends of tRNAs by cleaving the 5'-leader elements of precursor-tRNAs. Cellular RNase Ps are ribonucleoproteins. The record is from RNAcentral. Lineage: Bacteria; Pseudomonadati; Planctomycetota.